UACGUAGGGGGCAAGCGUUGUCCGGAAUCAUUGGGCGUAAAGAGCGUGUAGGCGGUCCGGUAAGUCGGGUGUGAAAGUCCAGGGCUCAACCCUGGGAUGCCGAUCGAUACUGUCGGACUAGAGUUCGGAAGAGGCGAGUGGAAUUCCCGGUGUAGCGGUGAAAUGCGCAGAUAUCGGGAGGAACACCAAUGGCGAAGGCAGCUCGCUGGGACGUUACUGACGCUGAGGCGCGAAAGCGUGGGGAGCAAACAGG
RNAcentral lists this ribosomal RNA (253 nucleotides) under uncultured bacterium. RNAcentral describes it as "partial 16S ribosomal RNA". It matches the Rfam family "Bacterial small subunit ribosomal RNA", at positions 524 to 776 of the family's 1533-position model. The record is from RNAcentral.